GUGAACGCUGGCGGUAGGCCUAACCCAUGCCGGUCGAACGGCAGCACCGUAAGAGCUUGCUCUUACGGGUGGCGAGUGGCGGACGGGUGAGGAAUACAUCGGAAUCUACUUUUUCGUGGGGGAUAACGUAGGGAAACUUACGCUAAUACCGCAUACGACCUACGGGUGAAAGCAGGGGAUCUUCGGACCUUGCGCGAUUGAAUGAGCCGAUGUCGGAUUAGCUAGUUGGCGGGGUAAAGGCCCACCAAGGCGACGAUCCGUAGCUGGUCUGAGAGGAUGAUCAGCCACACUGGAACUGAGACACGGUCCAGACUCCUACGGGAGGCAGCAGUGGGGAAUAUUGGACAAUGGGCGCAAGCCUGAUCCAGCCAUACCGCGUGGGUGAAGAAGGCCUUCGGGUUGUAAAGCCCUUUUGUUGGGAAAGAAAAGCAGCAGGUUAAUACCCCGCUGUUCUGACGGUACCCAAAGAAUAAGCACCGGCUAACUUCGUG
This 491-nucleotide ribosomal RNA is filed under the name uncultured bacterium. RNAcentral describes it as "partial 16S ribosomal RNA". It matches the Rfam family "Bacterial small subunit ribosomal RNA", at positions 29 to 507 of the family's 1533-position model. The record is from RNAcentral.